Molecule: ribosomal RNA, 253 nt
Filed under: uncultured bacterium
Lineage: Bacteria
Description: partial 16S ribosomal RNA
Rfam family: Bacterial small subunit ribosomal RNA
Source: RNAcentral
UACGAAGGGGGCUAGCGUUGUUCGGAAUUACUGGGCGUAAAGCGCACGUAGGCGGAUAUUUAAGUCAGGGGUGAAAUCCCAGAGCUCAACUCUGGAACUGCCUUUGAUACUGGGUAUCUUGAGUAUGGAAGAGGUAAGUGGAAUUCCGAGUGUAGAGGUGAAAUUCGUAGAUAUUCGGAGGAACACCGGUGGCGAAGGCGGCUUACUGGUCCAUUACUGACGCUGAGGUGCGAAAGCGUGGGGAGCAAACAGG